This 301-nucleotide ribosomal RNA is filed under the name uncultured bacterium. Its description in RNAcentral is "partial 16S ribosomal RNA". It matches the Rfam family "Bacterial small subunit ribosomal RNA", at positions 509 to 807 of the family's 1533-position model. The record is from RNAcentral.
CAGCCGCCGCGGUAAUACGUAGGUGGCAAGCGUUGUCCGGAAUUAUUGGGUGUAAAGGGCUCGCAGGCGGUUUCUUAAGUCUGAUGUGAAAGCCCCCGGCUCAAUCGGGGAGGGUCAUUGGAAACUGGGAAACUUGAGCGCAGAAGAGGAGAGUGGAAUUCCACUUGUAGCGGUGAAAUGCGUAGAGAUGUGGAGGAACACCAGUGGCGAAGGCGACUCUCUGGUCCGUAACUGACACUGAGGAGCGAAAGCGUGGGGAGCGAACAGGAUUAGAUACCCCGGUAGUCCCUGUCUCUUAUAC